RNAcentral lists this ribosomal RNA (483 nucleotides) under uncultured bacterium. Its description in RNAcentral is "partial 16S ribosomal RNA". It matches the Rfam family "Bacterial small subunit ribosomal RNA", at positions 28 to 507 of the family's 1533-position model. The record is from RNAcentral.
GACGAACGCUGGCGGCGUGCUUAACACAUGCAAGUCGAACGCUGAAGCUCAGCUUUUGUUGGGUGGAUGAGUGGCGAACGGGUGAGUAACACGUGAGUAACCUGCCCCCUUCUUUGGGAUAACGCCCGGAAACGGGUGCUAAUACUGGAUAUUCACUGGUCUUCGCAUGGGGGUUGGUGGAAAGGGUUUUUCUGGUGGGGGAUAGGCUCGCGGCCUAUCAGCUUGUUGGUGGGGUGAUGGCCUACCAAGGCUUUGACGGGUAGCCGGCCUGAGAGGGUGACCGGUCACAUUGGGACUGAGAUACGGCCCAGACUCCUACGGGAGGCAGCAGUGGGGAAUAUUGCACAAUGGGCGCAAGCCUGAUGCAGCGACGCCGCGUGAGGGAUGGAGGCCUUCGGGUUGUGAACCUCUUUCGCUCAUGGUCAAGCCGCAACAAUGGUUGUGGUGAGGGUAGUGGGUAAAGAAGCGCCGGCUAACUACGUG